RNAcentral lists this transfer RNA (72 nucleotides) under Dermatophagoides pteronyssinus (European house dust mite). RNAcentral describes it as "tRNA-Asp". It matches the Rfam family "tRNA". Rfam says of the family: Transfer RNA (tRNA) molecules are approximately 80 nucleotides in length. Their secondary structure includes four short double-helical elements and three loops (D, anti-codon, and T loops). Further hydrogen bonds mediate the characteristic L-shaped molecular structure. tRNAs have two regions of fundamental functional importance: the anti-codon, which is responsible for specific mRNA codon recognition, and the 3' end, to which the tRNAs corresponding amino acid is attached (by aminoacyl-tRNA synthetases). tRNAs cope with the degeneracy of the genetic code in two manners: having more than one tRNA (with a specific anti-codon) for a particular amino acid; and 'wobble' base-pairing, i.e. permitting non-standard base-pairing at the 3rd anti-codon position. The record is from Rfam by way of RNAcentral. Lineage: Eukaryota; Metazoa; Arthropoda; Arachnida; Sarcoptiformes; Pyroglyphidae.
UCCGAGAUAGUAUAGUGGUUAGUAUUUCUGCCUGUCACGCGGAAGACCGGGGUUCGAUUCCCCGUCUCGGAG